RNAcentral lists this ribosomal RNA (459 nucleotides) under uncultured bacterium. RNAcentral describes it as "SSU rRNA". It matches the Rfam family "Bacterial small subunit ribosomal RNA", at positions 26 to 517 of the family's 1533-position model. The record is from RNAcentral.
AGAAUCAACGCUGGCGGCGUGCCUAACACAUGCAAGUCGAACGAGAAAGGGUAGCAAUACCUGAGUAAAGUGGCGCACGGGUGAGUAACACGUGACUAACCUACCUUUUAGUGGGGGAUAACCUAGGGAAACCUGGGCUAAUACCGCAUAAUACCUACGGGUCAAAGCAGCAAUGCGCUGAAAGAGGGGGUCGCGGUCGAUUAGUUAGUUGGCAGGGUAAUGGCCUACCAAGACUGUGAUCGAUAUCCGGCCUGAGAGGGCGCACGGACACACUGGAACUGAAACACGGUCCAGACUCCUACGGGAGGCAGCAGUGGGGAAUUUUGCGCAAUGGGGGAAACCCUGACGCAGCAACGCCGCGUGGAGGAUGAAGUCCCUUGGGACGUAAACUCCUUUCGAUCGGGACGAUAAUGACGGUACCGGAAGAAGAAGCCCCGGCUAACUUCGUGCCAGCAGCCG